This is a long non-coding RNA of Xiphophorus couchianus (Monterrey platyfish), 5599 nucleotides long. RefSeq lists it as uncharacterized. Lineage: Eukaryota; Metazoa; Chordata; Actinopteri; Cyprinodontiformes; Poeciliidae. The record is from RefSeq and is a predicted model, not a curated record. The transcript is spliced from 3 exons.
AGGAGAUGUAGAUGCGUAUAAGUUUAAUCAAGUUCAAUGUUAGAAGCAGCUUGAGUGGAGUUAAGGGUGUGACUCCAUCAGCACAGCGGGAUAACUCUUGUCACAGCCAGCGUCCCCCGCGUUACAUUACAAAGAAUUACAGACAUUUUCAUUAUAAGCCCUGACAGAGAGGCUGAGCUGCAGCGCGGCCCCGGCUCUGGCUCGCAGGGGCCCGCCGGUGGGAAUGGGCUUUCACACCACAUUUGUUAUUUAUUGUUAAUUUCCUGCCACGUAAUCAUCCAAAAAUGCAAACUGACUGCCGCAAAAUUAAGCAGAAAAUUAACUGGCCUCGGGGUCACGGGGGAUGCGGGCGACCGGCGUGCCCGGCUGAUCGACGCUCGUGUUCUCUCUAAUUUACUGAGCAUGCAUCGCUGAGUCCGCGGCCCGAGCGCAGACACCAUCAGAAUCACAGAGAGGGAGAAAAAAAAGGCGGCUGAGAGAUAGAUGGCUACGAGGAGGCCAGGAGUCAAAGGAGAACGGGCACGAGAGAAGAAACUUCUGCACAUUUUAUCAGGAUUUUCUGUGAGAAACCAACAUCAAGAAGAUCAGAAUUGUGAGUUGGAGGGAAAAUAAUGCAUGAGUUGUCAACCCCACUUUACUCUGAUACUCCUAGAUAAAAUCCCGGAGGAUUGUGUUGACUCUGGAGGAGCUGCAGACACAACGAGUAUCCAUGCACUCUACUAACCUGGACUCUGGGAGAGAAAAAGGAAGUUUGACAUGUAGGAAACACAACAAACAUGAAACAUGGUGGUGGCAAUAUCAUGCUGUGGUUUUAGCAGGGACUAGAAAGUCAGAGUUGAUAAGACACCCAGGGAAGAAUUUUCUCUUGUCAAAUGAGAGAAACUUUGAACUGUAUUGAGGAAUAUAAUAACUGAAAAUUCAUGUCUCCUAGUUUGAGAAACUGGUGCUGCAUUUUUUUAGUGAGCUGAUAUGAAUAUGGACGGAGCUAAUCAGAGAAGAAUCCUGGAAAAAAUAAAGACCGGAGGCAAAGUUUUAGCUUCUAGGGGAAUAAUGACCCUAAAAACACUGGAAGAGCUGAAAUGGAUUGCAUCAAAGCAUGUUCAUGUUUUAGAAUAGCCCAGAUGUAAUAUAAUUGUAAAAAUGCUGUUAAGAGUUGCUCUAUAUCCAGUCUGACUCAGAUUAAGUUACCAACGUAUGUUGAACACCUAAACACCUCAGUUUUUUAUUUAAAAAAAUAUUUUCACUUCAGAAUUAUGCACUUCUUUACAUGUCACCUCAAAUCCCCUUACAACACUCUGAAGUUAGAGGUUGUAAUGUGACAAAAUGUGAAAAAAAGUUCAGAGGGUGUGAAUACUUUUGCAAGGCACAGCAAGGGACAGAAGUUCUCUUUAUUUAUUAAUUUUUUCGCGCGAGCCGAGGCAAUCCAGAAGCGAUCCUCUGGCCAGGGCUGAGUAUCUGAGGAGUCACCAACGCCCGUGGCCCCAUUAAUAAUGGAUGGCCCUCAAGCCUGCAGCAGAUGGGCCCCGACAGCCUCGGCCCCAGCGCCGCCACUUCAAGAAGCCUGCGCUGGGGCGGCUGCCCGGUCCAAGCAGCCACACAGGGAGAAGUGAAGCUCCCGAAAAUAGCGAAACAAGCCCAAGGGAGAAGGGGAACCCAGGCCUUCCUGUUUUACUGACAGAUGGCUCCACACAUUUGGAACGAACAGUGGGAAGCGAACCGGGUCCGCUCUGUCGCAACGCUCAACGUCAGGUCGGGAGCUCGACUCCUACAGAUGCCAACCAGGAUGCAAGUGCGAGAGCAAGAGGAAGAGGAGGAGGGGAGUGGGGGCAAAGGUCAACGGUGCAAAUGAUUUGUGUGUUACCUCAGCAUCUGGAGUUUGCAGACAGGACUCCUUUCUCGUGUACCUUUAUAGUUUUCGUCAGGGUGCAUGAAUGUUUGGUGGGGAGGGUUCAUGGGGUUAUCUUGACUAAAAUAAAGGCCUGAAGACGGAGUUCCUACAUUCUCAGCCACAACGCGCCUGCCUCGGCGUUUGGAAAGUAAGUUACUGGGUAGAACAAUCAGGAAGUAACUCUUCAGCUGAACCAGUGACUCUAUUUUCAAGCUGUUUUCACUCUUUACAUGCGACAGACAGUUUUGAGUUGUUCUAAUUUUAUUAGUGUCUCAUUUGUACUUCAGCUUUUCUUAUUUUAAAAAAUGGCAGCGUUGCACGUUCAGAUUCCACUUUCCCCUCCUUUAAAAACCCAAAAUGUUUUAAUUCAAGCUCAGUGUUGCCAGACUGAAACAAAGCGAACUCAGGCGUGUUGGUGGAUGAGUCUUGAAGAAAAGUGGGGGCAAAUGGAAGAUUUGUGCUGGUGGGGUGGAAGUCAUCGAGAAGACUUCUGACACAAAGCGCAACAGGACUGGAACAGUUUUUGGUCGUAGUUUUGUCAAGUGGGGAGAUGCAGGAAGAGGCUUGUGGGUUGACAGAAUUCUCGGUCUUCCUCCUGCGUGUGUGCGUGUGUGUGUAUGUGUGUGUAUGUGUGUGUUGGAUAGUGGUGAAGCACUAGGGGUAGAGUUAGAGGGGGCGGGGGGGUAAGUUUGAGGCUUCUGCUCAUUGCGAAGUGCAAAAGCUACACCAGGGAGCAGGGUGGAGAUGAGAAAACAACGAAACCGUUAACAGAUACUGAGGACCACGCCAGCGCAGUGUGGAUACUCAGGAGAAAGCUUCAAAAACUGCCUCCUCUCAACUUAAAACCUACAGAGUUUUACACUUAAAAUUAUCUGAAAAGCUUAAUAAUAAAACAAGAAGGAGAACAAAUGUACUUUUCCUGUUUUGCAAUCAGGAAACAGAAUAAAAUCCAAAUUGCUGCAGCACAAAAACACUUUAUUACCUUCAAAUAAAUUUGAAAUUUCUCCCCAAACUGAUUAAAUGUUCCUCACCUUUAUUUUGCGUUUUUUUGCACUUUCUAGGCAAGCUGAAUUAUUAAUUUUUCUCUCCCGUGGGUGCCUUUUAUUACCACCAGUUAUUAAGCUAUAACAGUCACCUUUGUUCUCCAUAUAUACACACAUGGAGAUUCUCAUCAGUAAUUCAUGAAAUGUAUGGGUGGAAGUGGGUAGAGGGUGUUAGCAGAUGUGUUCUGGGAGCCCAUGGAGGGGUGGAGGGGCGAGCAAAGGUGCUCUGAGGAGAAGUUUCCUUCAUUUGCAUCUGACACACUUCACUACUCUGCUAUUCAGACAGUACAAUCAUUUUAAUAACUGUCUGUCUUCCUGCACCCAACACACACACACACACACACACACACACCCACACACUAACACACACACAUGCACACUCUUCUGGUUCUUCUUGACAAGAAAGAUGAUGUAUCUGCAGAGAGGUUUUGCAGCACUUCACUUUCCAUGUGAGCUUUGAAAAAGCCCCAUUUGAGCAGAGGCUUCUUGAAACCAGCACCGUCUCACUGACUUCUACAGCUCGACGUUACUGCAGGCAUUCCACCUUUUGCAUCAGAGUUGAUUAUUUAAAACAAUCUUCCUGUCUGCAAACACGACCACCUCCACCUGCCACGCAGCUCUGAAAGCUGAGAAUGAGACUUUAGAGCAAAGAAUGUUUUCUUCAUCCAUUGAUUUGUGUUUUAGCCAAAACAUAAUUUCUAAAUAUUUAUUUUUAUUUUCUAUGACCAUCUAAUGGACUUUUCCCCCCUAAUGUUCGUUAUAAGUAUUCACAUUCCUGAUGGAGCAACACAAAACAUUAUGUAACUGUGAAGUUAAAAGAAAAAAGAACUAAUUUUUAUGUUUUCUUUCCUUGCAAAUACAAAUUUGAAAGGUGCGGCAGGCAUUUGUAUCUAGAAUUCUUGAGUCAAUUCUUUGCCGCAGCUAUAACUAGUUUGAGAUUGGAUGAAGAGUGUCUGUGGCAUCGAUUUCCACUGGAUCGCAGCAAUAAUUAGGUCAAGGUCGUUCUAACACAUGGAUAUGCUGGGAUGUUGUUGCUCCAGCUUGAUGUUGAAGGUCAUUGUUCAAAUCCCCACAGCAUAAUGCUGCCACCACCAUGUGCCGUUUUUGUGCUUGUAGGUCAGAAAGUUCAAUCUCAGCCACAUUUACUGUGGCUCCAAGGUCCAAAUGGGCUUUUUUCUGGCUCUCUUGCAAUUAAAUGAUUUACCUGCUGGGUCUGUAAUUAAUUAAUUCGAAGUAAUCACAUUUUGAUUGAAAACCAUAUAUCGACAAAAUAAGCAACAUUUUUAAUUCAAAAACUCUCUUUGCUGCUAAAUUACUGAAUAAACAGACAUAUGAGCUCAAAAACAAAGAUAUUUGUUGUUUUUAGUAUGUUAUUUAGGUUAUUAAACUGUCAGAUUGGUGCGAAAUGUUGUUCUAUUCAUUCAGCUUUUCAGUUUCUCAGGAACUCCUGAUCAUUCAUGGAACUUCUUUAGAAGUGUGGAUUGUGGACAUUGAAGAUGUCGGUGCUGCUGCUACGUGUUUAGCAUUGAGAUGCUAUUUGUGCUAAAAGGCUAACUCCUAUUAGCACAACUUGAACACAUUAAUGGUCUUUAAGUGUCUCCAGUCCAUCACUGGAUUGAUGUUGCUUGUGCGUCAGAUUUACAGACGUACCAGAAACGUCUGAAUACAAAGGUUCUGGCUCGAGAUUUUGAAAAGGAAAACAAAUAAAAUUUUUAUGCAAUAUAUUAAUCAAAAUUAGCACAUUAAAGUCCCAGUCAUAAAUUACACACGUAGGUACUUUAUUUACCAAUUAGAUGAUAUUUGAAGGUGGUUGGUUGUGUUGGAUUUAAUUUACAGUUAUGCAGUAGAUGGAUGUUACGUGACAAAAGUUGGAAAACUUUAAAGGAUGUUAAUACUUUUGCAAAGUGCUGUAACUUCUCUAAUGAUUAAAUUAGAGCCUGAAGCUUCCAGUUACAUCCUCAGCUUAAGGCGUUGCAAAACAAGCAGCAGUUUCACACUUUUCUCCAGUUGUGACUGUUUUUUUCCCCACAAUCCCGCUGUCCUCUGGCCCCCGGCUGCGCUCUUAUCUCAGGAGAAGCUGUGUGAGCUCGGCUGCUGAGUCACCUUUCAUGGGAGGCUGCCCUUAUCUCUGGAGAAGCACAACAUUGAAGCGGUUGGUUACAAAAGGAGGAACUUUGGGCAGGAGCAGCCUGUGGUCCGCCAUGUCUUCACGGCCAGAACAGGGAUUGCAGCAACACUUCCUCAAAGCUUCACAGGGGUCACCUGUUUCUCACUCCAACAUGAAGAGGCGUUGCCUCACAUCUGACUCCAGAAGGUCCAGCAUUCAGUGGAGCUCACGGUUCCAUCAGUGGCUGCUAACGGGCCCAGAUCAUCACCCCUCCACCACUGUGCUUCAUCCCUCCGCCGCCCCAGGUGUGUGUGCUCUGAUACGAUGUGUGAAAUCAGUUUUCUCACACUUGAGGUUUAAUUUAAAUAAUUAUACAACCCAGGAUCGUUUUUAUUAUGUUCUACUGUGCAAAACCUUAAAACUGAAAGAGGUUGUACUUUAUUUUUAGAUUUUUAAACCAUCAUUUUAAGUUGAAAUGUUUUGGUAUAAAGGCCGUCAGCAUUACGGAUCCUGAAACAAGUGAUGCUCUUUGACUUUGAUCAAUGUGAUGUUAUAUAUAUA